ACUGAUUUGAAGAGCUUGCUCAGAUAUGACGAUGAACAUUGCAAAGAGUGGCGAACGGGUGAGUAACACGUGGGAAACCUACCUCUUAGCAGGGGAUAACAUUUGGAAACAGAUGCUAAUACCGUAUAACAAUGACAACCGCAUGGUUGUUAUUUAAAAGAUGGUUCUGCUAUCACUAAGAGAUGGUCCCGCGGUGCAUUAGCUAGUUGGUAAGGUAAUGGCUUACCAAGGCGAUGAUGCAUAGCCGAGUUGAGAGACUGAUCGGCCACAAUGGGACUGAGACACGGCCCAUACUCCUACGGGAGGCAGCAGUAGGGAAUCUUCCACAAUGGGCGAAAGCCUGAUGGAGCAACGCCGCGUGUGUGAUGAAGGGUUUCGGCUCGUAAAACACUGUUGUAAGAGAAGAAUGACAUUGAGAGUAACUGUUCAAUGUGUGACGGUAUCUUACCAGAAAGGAACGGCUAAAUACGUGCCAGCAGCCGCGGUAAUACGUAUGUUCCAAGCGUUAUCCGGAUUUAUUGGGCGUAAAGCGAGCGCAGACGGUUAUUUAAGUCUGAAGUGAAAGCCCUCAGCUCAACUGAGGAAUUGCUUUGGAAACUGGAUGACUUGAGUGCAGUAGAGGAAAGUGGAACUCCAUGUGUAGCGGUGAAAUGCGUAGAUAUAUGGAAGAACACCAGUGGCGAAGGCGGCUUUCUGGACUGUAACUGACGUUGAGGCUCGAAAGUGUGGGUAGCAAACAGGAUUAGAUACCCUGGUAGUCCACACCGUAAACGAUGAGUGCUAGGUGUUUGAGGGUUUCCGCCCUUAAGUGCCGCAGCUAACGCAUUAAGCACUCCGCCUGGGGAGUACGACCGCAAGGUUGAAACUCAAAGGAAUUGACGGGGACCCGCACAAGCGGUGGAGCAUGUGGUUUAAUUCGAAGCAACGCGAAGAACCUUACCAGGUCUUGACAUCCCUUGACAACUCCAGAGAUGGAGCGUUCCCUUCGGGGACAAGGUGACAGGUGGUGCAUGGUUGUCGUCAGCUCGUGUCGUGAGAUGUUGGGUUAAGUCCCGCAACGAGCGCAACCCUUAUUACUAGUUGCCAGCAUUCAGUUGGGCACUCUAGUGAGACUGCCGGUGACAAACCGGAGGAAGGUGGGGAUGACGUCAAAUCAUCAUGCCCCUUAUGACCUGGGCUACACACGUGCUACAAUGGCGUAUACAACGAGUUGCCAACCCGCGAGGGUGAGCUAAUCUCUUAAAGUACGUCUCAGUUCGGAUUGUAGGCUGCAACUCGCCUACAUGAAGUCGGAAUCGCUAGUAAUCGCGGAUCAGCACGCCGCGGUGAAUACGUUCCCGGGUCUUGUACACACCGCCCGUCACACCAUGAGAGUUUGUAACACCCAAAGCCGGUGGG
RNAcentral lists this ribosomal RNA (1398 nucleotides) under Weissella confusa. RNAcentral describes it as "bacterial SSU rRNA". It matches the Rfam family "Bacterial small subunit ribosomal RNA", at positions 66 to 1434 of the family's 1533-position model. Lineage: Bacteria; Bacillati; Bacillota; Bacilli; Lactobacillales; Lactobacillaceae. The record is from RNAcentral.